CCUACGGGAGGCAGCAGUAGGGAAUCUUCCGCAAUGGACGCAAGUCUGACGGAGCAACGCCGCGUGAGCGAUGAAGGUCUUCGGAUCGUAAAGCUCUGUUGUCAGGGAAGAAUAAGUACCGUUCGAAUAGGGCGGUACCUUGACGGUACCUGACCAGAAAGCCACGGCUAACUACGUGCCAGCAGCCGCGGUAAU
This 195-nucleotide ribosomal RNA is filed under the name uncultured Bacillus sp. Its description in RNAcentral is "partial 16S ribosomal RNA". It matches the Rfam family "Bacterial small subunit ribosomal RNA", at positions 338 to 524 of the family's 1533-position model. Lineage: Bacteria; Bacillati; Bacillota; Bacilli; Caryophanales; Bacillaceae. The record is from RNAcentral.